GCAUAUCAAUAAGCGGAGGAAAAGAAACCAACAGGGAUUGCCCUAGUAACGGCGAGUGAAGCGGCAACAGCUCAAAUUUGAAAUCUGGCGCAAGCCCGAGUUGUAAUUUGUAGAGGAUGUUUCUGGCGACGUGCCUUCCGAGUUCCCUGGAACGGGACGCCAUAGAGGGUGAGAGCCCCGUACGGUUGGAUGCCUAGCCUCUGUGAAACUCCUUCGACGAGUCGAGUAGUUUGGGAAUGCUGCUCUAAAUGGGAGGUAUACGUCUUCUAAAGCUAAAUACCGGCCAGAGACCGAUAGCGCACAAGUAGAGUGAUCGAAAGAUGAAAAGCACUUUGAAAAGAGGGUUAAAAAGUACGUGAAAUUGUUGAAAGGGAAGCGUUCAUGACCAGACUUGGGCAGGUUGAUCAUCCGUGGUUCUCCGCGGUGCACUCUGCCUGCCCAGGCCAGCAUCAGUUCGCCCCGGGGGAUAAAGGCUUUGGGAAUGUGGCUCCCUCGGGAGUGUUAUAGCCCACUGUGUAAUACCCUGGGGUGGACUGAGGUUCGCGCUCUGCAAGGAUGCUGGCGUAAUGGUCAUCAACGACCCGUCUUGAAACACGGACCAAGGAGUCGUCUUCGUAUGCGAGUGUUCGGGUGUCAAACCCCUACGCGUAAUGAAAGUGAACGUAGGAGAGAGCUUCGGCGCAUCUCCGACCGAUCCUGAUGUUCUCGGAUGGAUUUGAGUAAGAGCAUACGGGGCCGGACCCGAAAGAAGGUGAACUAUGCCUGUAUAGGGUGAAGCCAGAGGAAACUCUGGUGGAGGCUCGCAGCGGUUCUGACGUGCAAAUCGAUCGUCAAAUAUGGGCAUGGGGGCGAAAGACUAAUCGAACCUUCUAGUAGCUGGUUUCCGCCGAA
RNAcentral lists this ribosomal RNA (891 nucleotides) under Clonostachys rosea. Its description in RNAcentral is "LSU rRNA". It matches the Rfam family "Eukaryotic large subunit ribosomal RNA", at positions 38 to 965 of the family's 3401-position model. The record is from RNAcentral. Lineage: Eukaryota; Fungi; Ascomycota; Sordariomycetes; Hypocreales; Bionectriaceae.